Molecule: RNA transcript, 1041 nt
Organism: Zingiber officinale
Lineage: Eukaryota; Viridiplantae; Streptophyta; Magnoliopsida; Zingiberales; Zingiberaceae
Exons: 4
Source: RefSeq, a predicted model, not a curated record
GGAUCUUAAAAAUUCAAACGCAUGUUCAUGGUUUCAUAAUUUUGCACUUGUUGAGAAGAUAUGAACUUGACUGUCAAUUGACUAUCUGUUUGUAUCUUCUCUUUAUAUUAAAUGUCUUUUUAUCAAGUUUGUCAUCUCCUAUUGCUUAUUCACAGAUAUAAUCCUUGCAAAAUAUGGCAUCAUUGCAUCUUUGCCCUUUUUGAUCUUCUGUAUUACUGAAUCGACAUUUUAUUUAUUAAGCCUUUGAGAAUCCUGUUAACUCUGUGAUGGAGAAUACAGAUUAUGCUUAGGAACUUGCCCUAUUUUUCAGUUGCAUGACUUUCUCAUUUUUGACUUAACUACUCAUGUCGUCCUUUUUCUCUUGUGCACAGCAAUGUUUAGGACGGUUGAACUUCAGAAGACUUCAAACAACAUCAGUAGGAUAAUUGAUGCUAACUGGAAUGAACAUAUGAAAACUUAUGUUGAAGCAGGGUGCAAACAACAGUCGCAAAGUGUUCAAAAUAUGUAUAAUUAAGCAGCAACCAAGAGUGCUACGGCUUUGGAUGACUCUUUUUGUGAAGAAAUGUUAAAAGAUAUUUCCUUUGAGGAAGAAAAGGAACCAUUGCCCAAGCAUCCUCAAGAUACAUCAAUAUCAGAAGUCAUGCUAAUGAAGAUCAUCAGUGAUAUGUUGAAGCUCGACUAUGCCAUGCAGAAAAAUAUUGUUUUGAACUUGAACAUUGGGACAAGUGUAUCUGAACUAGAAGGCUAUUGUCUCCUGUGGAAUCUGCAUCCAUACAUAGAUGAUGACAUUAUACAUCGGGCAUGGCAAUAUGUUCCCUCUCAUGAUCAUAGUUCACGAAAGUAGGCACCUCACUCUUGCGUGAGUGAGGUGGAAAUGAGGGUAAAUCAUGGCCUUUGGUUUCUUAAUGGAACUCCACUAUCACUGAUUCCUUGGAGGUCUUGCUUUUGUCUGCUGUUGAGUUUCUUGUGUGGAUUCAAAUAGUAGGUUUGCCCUUUGAUCUUGUUCAUAAUCAACAGCUAAAAUUUCUUAUAUUAUUCACA